Molecule: ribosomal RNA, 446 nt
Filed under: uncultured bacterium
Lineage: Bacteria
Description: partial 16S ribosomal RNA
Rfam family: Bacterial small subunit ribosomal RNA
Source: RNAcentral
GUGAGGAAUAUUGCGCAAUGGACGAAAGUCUGACGCAGCCAUGCCGCGUGAAGGAUUGACGGCCCUAUGGGUUGUAAACUUCUUUUGUAUAGGAAUAAACCCUCGUUCGUGAACGAGGCUGAAGGUACUAUAAGAAUAAGCACCGGCUAACUCCGUGCCAGCAGCCGCGGUAAUACGGAGGGUGCAAGCGUUAUCCGGAUUUAUUGGGUUUAAAGGGUCCGUAGGCGGAUCGUUAAGUCAGUGGUGAAAUCCUACCGCUCAACGGUAGAACUGCCAUUGAUACUGGCGAUCUUGAGUAUGUAUGAAGUUGGCGGAAUGUGUGGUGUAGCGGUGAAAUGCUUAGAUAUCACACAGAACACCGAUUGCGAAGGCAGCUGACUAAUACACAACUGACGCUGAGAGACGAAAGUGUGGGGAUCAAACAGGAUUAGAUACCCCGGUAGUCC